Peromyscus maniculatus bairdii (prairie deer mouse) is the source of this 1266-nucleotide non-coding RNA. The record is from RefSeq and is a predicted model, not a curated record. NCBI's taxonomy places the organism in Eukaryota, Metazoa, Chordata, Mammalia, Rodentia, Cricetidae.
UCAUUUUCAAAAGGCAUAUUAAGCAGCAGAGACCACAGGGGGGACCCGUGUAAACAGGCUUCCUCAGAUCCUGGCAGAAAAAGCUUGGAGAACGCAGUUGUCCCCAGGAGUUGUUGGCUGUUCCCUCUCUUCCACCCCCGCCUGCCUCCCUCCCUGCCCGGCAACUGAGUGUUUAAUGCCUGGGAACAGGGUUGCAGAUCCCAGCAAGGGAGCAUGGUGAAGAGGCUGCUUCGGGCUCCACGCUACAACUGCCUUCAGGAUCCAGUGCUUUCAGGCGGAGCUCUUCCCACUGGGAACCCAGGAUGCAGAGCAGAAAGUGCCAACAGGUGCACAGAGUCAAGGGUGACCUCAGAGCUUAAAGGUGCUGCCUGCCACGGCUGCUUGCUUGGAGCCACUGAGAAAUACAACACGUUUCACAGGAUGUCCAGCAUCCUCUCUGCGAUGGGGGGUCAAUUUACCCACCUCUCAUUCAAGGCUCAAUUUAUUGGAUGCUGUAGCAUAUCGGCCAGAACAGUGAGUGAAACAAGCCAUGGUUGCCUCAAGGAAAGGGAUCUAUGAGACUGAGCAUCUGAUUGAAGCAGCCAACAUUUGCAUGGGAUAUCCACUCAAAAGCACGAGUGACAGGCAAAGCAAACCUCUUCAGAUAAGGUGUCUGGAGAUACUUGCUCAAAGAAGAAUGGAUGGAGCCUGUCCCUCCCAGGAGAACAAUGGGCAAUAUUGUGGCCAAUGCUAAAAUGCAAAGCAUUCCAUAGAAGUGGGACUCUGGACAACUUGUGUUCACUGUGUGUAUGAGUUUGAGUGCUUCCCAACACUUAAUGGGUGUCCUGGUAGCAUCACCAGUGGAAGAAAUUAAUGCGAUUAUUUGGUAUCUAAUAAUCAAACCCAUCAGUCUUGUGAAAUGUCUGUGUGGCUGGUGAGCAUCUUCCUAGCGACCAAUGCAUCUCACUUCAAAAUUGUGCAUAGGUCAGAGACCUACUAGGAUGCAAGAUGGAGCCUCUGAGUUCACCUGAUGUCACCAGGUUCUGCAAGUUUGUUGCUGGGGCCUAGGUUUUCACUUGCUGAGUUCUGGUGUAACAUCAAAGCAGAAGGUCAACAGUGGUCUAGAAAGUUUCUUUCUAAAUCUCAAGAGACUUGGAAGGAGAGACAGAUAGACAAAUUCUGCUGUCUGCUACUGAUCCAGAUAAUUACAAAAGCAUUUAUAUUACCUUUCCUAUUUUUUCUAUUUUGAAAAGUAGUUGUUUUGAAUAAAAAAUAUGUAUGCUAACA